AUUGAACGCUGGCGGCAUGCUUUACACAUGCAAGUCGAACGGUAACAGGCCUUCGGGUGCUGACGAGUGGCGAACGGGUGAGUAAUGCAUCGGAACGUGCCCAGAGGUGGGUGAUAACGCAGCGAAAGCUGUGCUAAUACCGCAUGUGAUCUGAGGAUGAAAGCGGGGGACCAGGCAGCAAUUUUUGGCCUCGCGCCUUUGGAGCGGCCGAUGUCAGAUUAGGUAGUUGGUGGGGUAAAGGCCUACCAAGCCGACGAUCUGUAGCUGGUCUGAGAGGACGACCAGCCACACUGGGACUGAGACACGGCCCAGACUCCUACGGGAGGCAGCAGUGGGGAAUUUUGGACAAUGGGCGCAAGCCUGAUCCAGCAAUGCCGCGUGCGGGAAGAAGGCCUUCGGGUUGUAAAGCGCUUUUGUACGGAACGAAAAGGCUCUGGCUAAUACCUGGGGCUGAUGACGGUACCGUAAGAAUAAGCACCGGCUAACUACGUG
Molecule: ribosomal RNA, 492 nt
Filed under: uncultured bacterium
Lineage: Bacteria
Description: partial 16S ribosomal RNA
Rfam family: Bacterial small subunit ribosomal RNA
Source: RNAcentral